GAGAAGGCAGACACACUGCCGCUGAUUGAAUCACGCUGGAGUGAAACCAAGUCUUCUGUGAUACAAGAUCAGAGGAGAUAAUCCAAUUCCUCUGUGCAGGACAAACUUGACCGAGCAGCCGGAAAAGGAACACCUCCGCUCAGUAACGGACCUGCACUUUGAAGCCAGUCCAAGAGGAGCAGCGCGCUACAAUGUCACAAAAACUUCUCAAGGUCCCCCUUGCCGACAGUCCAACCUGAAACAGUGUCUCACUCCACAGACAUGAUGUAACUGCUGUUUGAGCUGAACUCUUCCUGAGUGUAAAUGAUGUGCGCCCAUUCAUGUGUGAAGAACUUGGCUUACAAUGAAAGGACAACUACAUUUAACAAGUUUUUGGACAACACUACUUUUUUGAUGUCAUGCACAGUAACUUCAUCCCCAACACAUUGCAAAUACUUGCCAAUUAACCAAAGUUUGGUAUUGUAAUGUAAAGUUAAUGUUGCUGUGUAACA
This is a long non-coding RNA of Scatophagus argus, 491 nucleotides long. RefSeq lists it as uncharacterized. The record is from RefSeq and is a predicted model, not a curated record. The transcript is spliced from 3 exons. Lineage: Eukaryota; Metazoa; Chordata; Actinopteri; Scatophagidae.